ACAUUUUUGUUACACUAGGCGUCGUAGAUUUACCUCAAAAAAGGCAUCAUAGAUAAUUCCAGCCAGAAACUAAUAUUAUCAAUAAAUAGUUAUAUUGUUUUCAGCAAUAGGCAUCAUAGUGGAUACUUCAGGUACAUGAAUCACAUACAUAGUUCAGCGUUAAACUCCUCUAAAGAGGUACUAUACUUAUAAUGAUUUUACACAAAGCCAGAACCACUAUGCUUCAUGACAACACGUACACAUAACAACAAAUCAGGAAACCAUAGCUUCUCCUGUUCACUGUCAUCCACUUCUGAGUAGCCAGUUCUUCUGGAUUGCAGAAUAUCCUGGGAUCAAGAAAGAUCACACAUGAGAAGAACAUGCAGACCACAUAGCAAUUGAAUUGAAACAUCUUUGUUGUAAGACACAUAUACUGUAAUAAGAAGGAAACAACUACAAUUAUGAUAAGCCAACCAAAGUGUCAUGACAGUACAAUACAGAGGUAUUUUUCACAAGACAAUCACCCACUAUAGGACAAAGGUUGGACAAAAUUUUCUCAUUGUAGCUUAACAACGACUAUCAUGACAAUACAACAGAGGUUAACAAGCAAGUAUUAUUUCCAGAUAAAGGAUACAAAUGCCACCCUAAAAUGAAAUUUAAGAUUCCAAUGUGUAGCUACACUUGUCUAGGCGCACAUCAAGUAUUGACCAAGUUAUUAAAGUAAAUGAGUAUUCACUAUAGAUUCUACUUUAGGUAACUCAUUAGCAGUUGGGGAAUUAGAAAAAAGAAAUACAUAGGCAUGAUGCACCAGAGGUAAGGGAAAGCGUUACGAUACAUGUGAAUGGCUCGGGUCUUAGGACAAGACAUCCUCCAUGUUCCAUAUUGUUUGGCCCAAACAUGUCAACAAGUUAAUGUGCACGUUGAAUGGAACAUAGAAAAUCUAUUGAACAACCAUUGCGGGCGGCAAGCAAAAGAUAAUGCAUGCAAUCAACCAUGCAUACAAAAGGGUAGUGAACAAGCAUGAAUCCUCCAGAAUGCGGGAAAUUAACCACCAAGAGAUCCAAUGUAACAAAGUACUCCUUCCGUUCCUAAACAUAAGGCAAUUAUUAUCAAAUGCAGCUGCAUAGGACAAUAAUAUAAUGAAUAGUUGAUGAUACUAUUAGAACCAUAUCCACCUUGGUACUUACGGUGUAAAUUCUGAUGAAAAGGAACUUAAAAAUAAACAAUGGGCUAUUAUCACAUAUAUAAUUGGGCAACUAAAACACCUUAAGAUUAAUGGUCGGGUGAUUACUGGGUAACUACAGGCAGCAGAAACAUAGGGAAAGUGAUGCAAAAUGCACUAUCCAUGUACAUCUUGCACAUUGACAAUUACGCGAUGGAGAAGUACAUUAGUACAUAGUCACUUCACAAAUAAAACUACUUAGGGCAUUCGGAACGCAUGAUUUAUGAAUAGUAAAAUGCCGGAAAACUGACUAAAGUUCGCAUAGAACACUCUCAACUAACCAAAGCUUAUUCUCAGUAAUGGGAGUAUCAACUUUCUUUCUCUGUAAUCAAUAAGGAUUUUGUUUUUACCAUGCAUGUUUAUGUGUAAUUAAGCAAAGCAAGACUUUGUCGAUCUCAGGUAAGAUGCACUAUCAAAUUCAUACUUGCACUACUCAUGCAUGUCUAGAAUUUGUUUGUUUUUGUACACUAGCUGAAAACAGGUAACACAGUUAAGCAAGUGGCAUGAACAACUAUCUUACCAGGCUGAAAACAACAUAGCAGCAGAUUAGAGUUACUACCAAACUCACCAAUCAUAAAUUCCAUCACACGCUGGCACAUUCAGAGAAACAGAUUUGAGUUACUACUGAACCCACCAUUGAUAAAUUAUGUCAUCGACGCUGGCACCUACAGAGCAGCAGAUUUGGCACAUUCAGGCAUCAAUUUGGGCAAACAACUUCAUCAAUCGAUAGUGUUCAGAAAGAAAAGAAAGAGACCGGCCGAAAGCAACGAUGACAGUGAGGAUAGCCCAGAUGGAGCUGCGAGCGGCGUGGUCACCUUGGCCGCGUACACGAGAUUCAUGGGGUACUUGCGCGGGAACGGUCAUGUCUGCUGGCGCAGCGUCUCAUCGCUGCCGACGCCGGGGAAGUUGGAAACGACCCAAUCAAGCGUCGCGGCCCACCCAGCCCCCGCUGGUCCAGCGCCAAGCGCAGCGUUCACUGCUCCGACAGCAACCACACUCGCCCUCCUUGUGACGCGUGCGGUUGGUGCAGCAUCGGUUCUUGGUACCCGCCGCCGUUGAGAUCUCAAGAUGGGUUGGUGGUUCCCGCCGCCGUCCUGGUGGCCCGCCGCCGCAGCUGUGGGAUGGUUAGGCUGGAUCCGUGUGUGGAUUGGCAAGAUCCGGCCAGAUCGAGGCUCGGCGAGGUGGGAGGGGAGGGGAUCGUGGAGAGAGUAGAAGGUGGGAGCGGCGCUGGAGGGGAUUC
Molecule: long non-coding RNA, 2441 nt
Filed under: Triticum aestivum (bread wheat)
Lineage: Eukaryota; Viridiplantae; Streptophyta; Magnoliopsida; Poales; Poaceae
Description: long non-coding RNA (TAES_LNC021249)
Source: RNAcentral